AUGAGCUCGUAUGGCAGCCUUAGUUUAAUGGAGAACGCCGACAGCUUUUGGUUCGUGUCGCCGCCACCGUUCGUCCGCGCCGCAGCUGGCGACCACCCCAAGCAUCUCCCCGCCUCACUCCCCUGGAAGUCCUCUGAUGAACCUCCAACGUUCCAUCAAUCUCCUCCAAGGCGUCACUCCAGACUGUUCCCGAGGCGAUCUCCUCUGCCGUCCGUCGGCAUUGUCAACGGCCCCGUACCCGUUCUCCUUCGCUGCUUCAUUUUCCUUCCUGUUCGUGUGCUCCACCGGAAGAAGGACCGAUGA
RNAcentral lists this ribosomal RNA (303 nucleotides) under Triticum aestivum (bread wheat). RNAcentral describes it as "partial small subunit ribosomal RNA". The record is from RNAcentral. Lineage: Eukaryota; Viridiplantae; Streptophyta; Magnoliopsida; Poales; Poaceae.